Molecule: ribosomal RNA, 538 nt
Filed under: Alternaria alternata
Lineage: Eukaryota; Fungi; Ascomycota; Dothideomycetes; Pleosporales; Pleosporaceae
Description: eukaryotic LSU rRNA
Rfam family: 5.8S ribosomal RNA (bases 178-331)
Source: RNAcentral
GAGGGAUCAUUACACAAAUAUGAAGGCGGGCUGGAACCUCUCGGGGUUACAGCCUUGCUGAAUUAUUCACCCUUGUCUUUUGCGUACUUCUUGUUUCCUUGGUGGGUUCGCCCACCACUAGGACAAACAUAAACCUUUUGUAAUUGCAAUCAGCGUCAGUAACAAAUUAAUAAUUACAACUUUCAACAACGGAUCUCUUGGUUCUGGCAUCGAUGAAGAACGCAGCGAAAUGCGAUAAGUAGUGUGAAUUGCAGAAUUCAGUGAAUCAUCGAAUCUUUGAACGCACAUUGCGCCCUUUGGUAUUCCAAAGGGCAUGCCUGUUCGAGCGUCAUUUGUACCCUCAAGCUUUGCUUGGUGUUGGGCGUCUUGUCUCUAGCUUUGCUGGAGACUCGCCUUAAAGUAAUUGGCAGCCGGCCUACUGGUUUCGGAGCGCAGCACAAGUCGCACUCUCUAUCAGCAAAGGUCUAGCAUCCAUUAAGCCUUUUUUUCAACUUUUGACCUCGGAUCAGGUAGGGAUACCCGCUGAACUUAAGCAUAU